This 548-nucleotide unclassified non-coding RNA is filed under the name Barnadesia odorata. Its description in RNAcentral is "partial external transcribed spacer". Lineage: Eukaryota; Viridiplantae; Streptophyta; Magnoliopsida; Asterales; Asteraceae. The record is from RNAcentral.
UGGCAGGAUCAACCAGGUAGCUUUCCUUUUCGACGUCGCCAAUCGCGUCCAAACUAGUCAACACGCGACCGGCAGUCGUUUUGGAGAAGCGAUAACGCUUGACGAGGGUAGACAUAAGGCCACGAAAGCCCAACACCCGCACAAGUUUUCAGCAUCCAAGAGACCAGACGAUGCCCAACGAUCCAUGUCGCCGACGCAACAGAGCCGGCUGGACGGAUCGCUGAGACCGCUUCAAGGUCCACCCCACGUCACAUGAGCGUCGUAAGGUGAAAAGGGACAUCGAUACGGCCAAAAAAUUCCAUCCGAUAGGUAUGCGACACAGGAAGCCCAACCGAUGCGCAGGGAAAAAUUGACCCUGACGCACAAAUGAAGAGGCAUGCACAGGUGGACGUUGCUGCGCAAGCAGACAUCCAACCACCCGAAACAAGCCAAUCACCACUCACGCACCGUUACGGCCUUCAUUCCCUAAAAUCCCCACACAAUCCUGCCACACACAUGACACGAAUGUCAAACGAGCAACAAAACGCAUGAAAGGAUCCCCAGAAGGC